UCAAGUACUAGCGCACAGAUGCUCUGCACGGUUAAGCUAGUAUAUUAUAUUGCUUGUAUACAUUCUUAUUCAGUGAUGGGAAGUAACAAGGAUGAAGGAUUUUCAAUCAGCCAUUUGGGGCUUUUCAUUAUGGAAGAGAAUUCCACUGUUGUAGAGAAACCAGUAUUAUGUAUGUAUGUUUGUUUGUUUGUAGAUUUAAUAUACCAUCCAAUCCACAGACUCAGGGCGGUGUACAAACAAGAACAGCAUCCGAGAUUUUUGGGGGGGGGGAUUAAAGGGCAAAUGCCUGGCGGAAAAGAAGUGUCUUCAAUAAGGUUUUAAAGGCUGAAAGGGAGGAGGCAGACCAAAUCUGGGGAGGAAGAGAAUUCCAAAGUGAAGGGACGGCAACAGAGGAAGCCCUUCCACGGGCACUAGUACUAUGGAGCUCUCUGACACCAGGGACUGAAAGAAGUGCAACCUGUGAAGAUCUCACAGGAUGGGACAGGACUGGCCGGGAGACGUGGUCCUGAAGUUAAACAGGUGCUAAGUUCUGAAGGGUUUUAAAGGUAAGAACCAGCACCAACACAGACCCGGAAACAAAUAGGUAACCAGUGCAGCGAUUGCAUGAGAGAUGUCACACUAUCAUAUCUCCUAGUGCCCAUAAGCAGGUGGGCCGCCGCAUUCUGGACCAACUGGAGCUUCUGGGUCGUCUUCAAAGGCAACCCCAGGUAGAGCGCAUUACAGUAAUCCAGACAAGAGAUGACGAGGGCAUGAGUUACCAUUGCCAGGGCCUGCUUGGCAAAAUGAUGACUCUUUUCUGUUGGUUAAAGCACAGUAGUCUUAAUGGGGUGAGCAAUAGGCCUGUUCCCUGGCAACGGAUAGGCCUGUGCCCUGGCAACAGAUGAGAAAAAGCACAGGAGGUUCUGGGAGGGGUGGGUGAGGAAGUGCAGACCUUUCCCUAUAGAGCUCUAUGGGGAAAACACUUCCCAAAGCACCUGAUGUACCUUCCCAGCCUCUGCUGGGGCACAGGGCUCUGCUUCCCAUAAAGAACACACACACACACACACACAUUGAAAGGACACAGUAUUAAGUGGAUAUGGCUGUUCUUGGAGUGGCUGACUGCCUUAGCAUGGUUUCAAAAGGUUGGUAUAACUUAUUAAGUUAUUCAGAUAUUCUGAAAUGCACCCCUAGUGAGCAAUAUACUUAUUAUAUUGUAAGCCACCUUGAACAUUCAGGUGAGUUCUGCCAUAACAGGGAGGACUCUUGACAGUUGGAACUCAGACAAAAUCCCUCCUGUGCUGGCGGAACUCUGUUAGAGUUCCAACAUGCCCGUCAAACCCAAAUUAAAUGGCCCUCACCACUGAGAGGUACAGUUCAGGCCAUUUUGAAAGUAAAAUGGCAAGUCCAGUAGUUCUCAACUGGAAGGCAGACUGGCUACCAUUUGGUUGGCUGCUAUGUAUGUUAAAGGGGAAACCCCUUUAACCCCUGCUAACUAGGCAAAGAGGCACCUUUUACCAUGGUGAUUCUCUUUAUUUAACGGGGGAGAGUAACUGGCCCUAUCCACCCCCAGCACAGUACUUCCAGUGACUGUUGCUGGUGUCUAUCUUAUGUUUCUUUUUCGAAUGUGAGCCCUUUGGGGACAGGGAUCCAUCUUAUUUAUUUAUUAUUUCUCUGUGUAAACUGCCCUGAGCCAUUUUUUUUGGAAGGGUGGUUGUUGGGGAAUGCUGGAUUUCUGAUUUGACACAACCAUUUUGGGAAGCCAUUUUGGCCCUCCCAACUAUUUCUUCAUUGAGUUGCAGCAGAUCCAAUUUUGUUGUUGUUGCAUAUGUUGUCUCCAGUGCCCAUGUAGGUAAAUGUGAAUGAUUGCAAAGUACCAUACCAUGUAUAGCUUGCUGCUUUACAGCUAUUAAGGUACAUUCUGAACAUUUUGAUCUACACAGAUCAUAGGGCCUUUUCAGCUUUUAAAGCAGUGGGGGCACAGAUUGUUGCAAAAACUGAGGUCAGAGUGGAGGCUUCAGCAAUAAGAAGGGAGAGGGGCUACUUUCAGGCAGUGAUAUUUGGUAUGAUAAUAGAAGUGAUUCAAGCCUGUCCCUGUUUUAAUCUGUGAAAUGCUGGAGGGGCUGUUGAACAUAUCUAUAUGUGUCAUCUAGUUGGCCAUAAGACAACAACUCUGCAGUGUAUUCCUUUACAGAUCCCAGCCAAAUCUCCUGAGAAAUGUGUUUAGGCAGUUAUAAUGGAAUUUAGAAAAUCCAGUAAACUUCAUCAGUUGUCCUGAGAACUGCAGCAGAUAUUAUAUGAAACCAGUUUUUCCCCCUUUUACAAGCAUCCCAAAUGUUGACACUGAAUCAAACAGUGCAUAAACUAUACUUGAGUUUUAAUUAAAAGGAAAACUGAUAAAUUACUAAGAUUCUGGUGUGUGCAAGAUGGCUAUCUGUUAUGCAAACUCAUUUUAGUGUCUAAUGUUCUAUCUCUAACAUAUGAAAUGGUCUCCGGAUUAAUUUUUAUCAUAAAUGGAAAUUAUAUCAUAAAUACUUAUAUAUCAUUAAAAAAAAAUUCCAGUUCUUCCCCAGCAAAUGCAAUUAGAUUAACAAAAUCAUGGCAUUAUAAAGUGUGAGGCUUAGGAAUUGCGGUGACCACUGGAAGUAUGUGAGAAAAUUUUGCAAUUAACAAUUAAUAACAACAAUUAAGAAAUUAAGGAAGAAAUUGCUUGUGUGUUGUUUUUAAGUUUAAGCAAAAAUGACUAUCAGUCCUUGAAAGGUUAACUGUCAGAUUAAGUAAUAGGGAUGCAGACUGGCCAAUGGCUACCCGGGGGCAAAUAUUAAGUUUACUCCAGCUCACACAAUUUACAAAAAAAAGAUUAGCUCCCUUGUGUCUCUCGAGAACUUAUGGAGAGCAGGCCUCAUAUUCCACAGCAGGCUUUGAUAACCCAGCAAGCAGCACCAGGCCCUGACUGGUCAUGUGAGAAUCUGAGCUAAUGGUAUACAUUUCCAGUGAUGUAAAAGUAAAUUAGAGAACAGGAAAAGUUAUUACACUGGAGAUUGUAGGACUAUGGGGAAUAAUAAAAAUCAGGUUACCCUAAUUUCCUUUGAACAACUAAAUAUAUACAGGUCAUUACUGCCUUUAAUAGGUAGGCCUCAAAAGUGCAAGACUCAAUUCUGAACUGAAACCUUGGGGGCAAAGGGGGUGGGAUACCCAAGCAACCAAAGGUACUGUCAAAGGGAAAGGCCAGAAAUAAGUUGUGUUUCUGCUUAAAUAAUUAUAAGUGCAAUAUGCCUUUUUGAUAGUAAAUGUAAUACGUAUGAAAUAUUUGUUAGAAAGCUCAGGAGGAGAGAUUUCUUCAUCUACCCCUGCUUCAAUGGAAGUGCACAGGUAAGGGAACACUGCUAAUUAAUAUUGUCUGGAGACAUGGAGUUAAAGUUCCAAAUAAAGUAGUUUAUUUAGGAAAUCCAUCAGGGAGAGAGAUAAGACCUACAUACAUGAACUCUGGUAAAAUGGCUGAAGCCUGUGUAGCACUUCCUAGGUUUGGUGAGAUAUCUUUGUGCCUCACUAUGAUCAGUAAGCUUUUCUAGCAACCAUAAUGAAGAAGGACUCUUUUGGUGUUUAAAGGUAGCCUCUCUGCUUUGACUAUUUGAACAUCAGAGAGUAUCACAAGGUAGUUUAAAGUGGUAGUGUAUCUGCAUGAUUAGCUAAUUGAAAGGACAUGUUACUUCCUCUUAUGGGCUAGCGCCUGGAGUGAUCCUUCUUGCCUGGGCUUUGUUCCCCCCCUGGGUUGACCAUGGGCAUAUCAAGGUUGGAGUGGGCCCUUGGACAAAGAUGAGCCCCACCCACCUUCUUUUAGGGAAUGUGAGGAUGGGAGAAAAGAGCAAGCUGUCACCUUGCUGGUAGGGCUCCCUCCCUCAGGGGCGUAGGAACAUAUAUUCAAUUGUAACUUCGCCCCUGAGGCUGAUUCUGGUAGCUGUUGCUCCUGGAUUCUGCUUAUCAGCCAUGCUUCUAUCUUCCCUGCACCCAUUUUUUCAUUCCUUUAUUGACUACAACAUUUGGGUAUCCAAAAUUGGGAAUGCUUGUACUAAUUGUACUAAUAUAUUGUGUAGAGUCCCCCGCCCCCCGCCGCACGCACACACAGACACACCUUCUGAUAAUUGCUUUACAACAUUUUUUAUUCUUGUCACUGGAGCUCUUCUGGAAGCUAGCUAUUGCUCCACAGGUAUACCAAACUGUGUUCUAACCUACUACCUCACUUUGGAAUUCUUCAGGACUGGAACAAGUGGACAUGCUCAGAAUCUGUAUGUGCUAAUUUCAAGAAAUCGAAACCAGAGGUGUUGAUCUUUUGUGGACAACUGGGAGAACUUCUUCUCCCAUGGCCUAUUUCUCAGGAUAUUUAUUUAUUUAUUUAUUUAUUUAACAUAUUUUCAUACGGGCAGUUUACAACAAAGCAAAACAAACAGAAAAUGUUAAAACAUUAGUUAAAACAAAAUAACAGAAAAGGUUAAAACAUUACAACAAUUUAAUUUUUUAAAAACAGGGUUAAAACAAUUAAAACAAUAUUUAAUUAAAAGCCUGGGUGAACAGAUGCAUCUUUAAAGACUUUUUAAAAGGUGUCAGAGAUGGGGAGGCUCUUAUUUUAGCAGGGAGCUCAUUCCAAAGACUCAGGGCAACCGUGGAGAAGGCCCAACUGCAAGUAGCCACCAGACGAGCCAGUGGCAACUGUAGAUGGACCUCUCCUGAUGAUCUUCAUGGGCAGUGGGGUUCAUAACUAAGAAUUUGUUCUCUUAAAUACCCAGGGCCCAAGCCGUUUAGGGCUUUAUAGAUUAUAACCAGCACCUUGUAUUUUGCCUGGAAACCUAUCGGCAGCCAGUGUAGCUCUUUCAGUAUGGAAGUAACAUAUUUAGAGCAUGCAGAUUCAUUUAAGCAUUGAAGCUCAUCUGACUGCCUUAAUAUUUCAGUUUUCCCACAACCUGGAAAUCUGCCAUUAUUAUACAGCUUGUAUACAAUCUUCCCUUUCUCCUUCCCAAUGCAGGUUCCUGAACUCCUUGAAAAGCUACUCCUUAGAAUCAGAGGAUCCUUGGGAAAGGCAUGAGAUAGAGUGAGAGAGGGGAAUUCCCCCAUACUGGGCACAACCAUCUUUGACUACAUUCAACUAUCCAAUGAGAGUGUAAGUCUAACUAGUGUCAGCAGAAGUUCAUAUGCAGAUAGAAGGCAACUCAUGCCCCCGAGCAUUAAGCCAGUCCCAAAUUAAAGUCAUGUCUCCAGCAUAAAAGUGCUUUGUGCUACCUGCCAGGCCACAAGAUUGGCAAAAAAGUCUCCAGAUGUCCUGUGAUGCUCUUCAUAAGGCCCAAUUCUGCAAUUUCUUGGUGAAAAGGUGCAGUUAAUUUUUUUUCUUUAAAUAUGAGCCACAAAAUGGCUCCUGUGCUCAAAAUGGAAGCCAGAAAUUACCUUGGAGGUCAUUUCAGGCCACCCUGAACCCACAGCUAUAUAGAAUUAACCCCCCCUUUUUUUGCCUGUUCCCCCCGCCCCCACAACAUAUGCUGAGGUUGGGUGUCAAUUACCUGACCGCAGAGACCCGAAAAUAUAAAUGCUGGAUCCAUGAAUGGUGAGGUUCUCCUGUACUAAAAUUUGUUAUGACUAUGAUCUAAACUUGUUUCUAGACCAAGGUCGGUUUCCAGGCCCCAUUUUCUGGGACUUAAAGUACAGCCAGCGAAAGGACUGCUCUGCUGUCCAAACAAAUGUCAGAAGGCAAUGCUAGAUCUGGAGCUUUCAGGCUGCCUAUGGCAGUGAGUUCAGUGAUAUCUGGGAACCUAAGGUGAACAGGACUAUUUGUCACCACUAUCUGUCUUCCAAGAGCAAGACCAUCGCCAGGCAGGAGGAUGACGACGACUGCUGAGAAAGGAAAGGGUUAAACCAGCCCAGCAGCAGCCGUCUUUGAUUGGUCCUCCUUGAGUUGUGCUCCUCUUGUGCUUGGCAAUUCAAUGCAGAGUUGGCAAGGGAGCAGGAAGGGAGCAUGGCCACAAGGAGAGCUGGAAAGGAAAGUCAAACAAACAAACAACUCUUGUCUGUUUUUUCUGUGAACGUGAUUUCUUUCUUCAGAAGCCAACAUGUGUUUUUCUCCCAGAUUCAUGAACCGUAUGUGAAUGUGUGUGUGAGAGAGAUCCCAUCCCCAAUUGAAAACCUCCCUUGGUGUGUCUCUUCCCUAUCCCCAAACCCUUGUUUGUGCUUGUGUGAGAGAUUUUUUAACUUUUAAAAAAUGAUUUUAAAUGAUUGAAUUCUUCCCAAUAAGUCCUGGCCCAUAUGAUCUUCUCCUCAGAACUUGCAAUGAGUUGUUUUUCUCUCUGUGGAAAGGAAAGCAGAAAGUAAGAGAGCAAGAGCGAGGGGGUGGAGUUUAUUGGCUGGUCUGUGGUGGUUAUUAAAUAUAUAUUCGACUGUUUUUCAGCCAAACAAGUUCUCAGAAUUGUAUACAUAGCUAGGUGGCCAGAUUUGGCUUUUUAAAAGCCAAAUUCUGGCUUACGGCCCAUCUGACCCACGAGUAUACCCCUUAGGUUCUGGCCACCCUGAACAUAGCACAGAGAAAGAGAAUUUUAGACUUUUAGAAAAUCAUUUUCAAACUUUUCAGAAGUAUGCACUGAGUUAUUUUCAAUGCUUCUCAUUUCCUAUGUCUGGAAGCUAAGGGCUACCUCUGACCAUGGCUGCUUUUGUUGUCCUUGGUGUACAUAUUUUGCCAGCCCUCAAAAGUCAAGUCCUUUCUUACUUCUCAUGUUGUAUCCAGUCCUUGGAGCAGCUUUGAUCUGUGUGUGCGUGUGAGGGUGAGAGCGAGAGCGAGAGAGUACAAAUGGGCAAAUAGGGAUAGGGACAUUGCGAGGGUUGUAUGCGUGAAUACACAGUAUUCACAGUAGUAGGCAUAUUUGUUAAAAAUGUUUCUGAGCUAAGGGAAUAUGCAUGCACAAGUACUGUAUGUGUGUGAAAGUGUAUGCAUAUAUGAAGAGAGUGUAAUAUAUGCACAGAAGGGAAAGAAAGGGCAUGCUAAGAAUCUUGUUUUUACCAUUUCCUAACAUUUUUUCUGCAAAAAAGGUAUGGGGGGUGGGAGAAACAAAGAAGAUGGAGAGCAAGGGAGCUCAUCUUCAUUUUUUGUCCCUAGGCCCACUCCAACCUUGCUACACCGCUGCCUGCUACAUAUGCUGUUGCACAAGCAGUAGAAAUGUCUCCACUCUGCACGCAAUCCAGAAGUGCUCUGGAAGAAAGGAAAUAUGUCACUGAGGAUCAGUGAGGUAGUUCCUUUCUUCCAGAGUGUUUCUGGGGUGUGGGCAAAAGGAGGACGCUCUUACUGCUUGCACAACACACAGCGUGCAUUCUAGAGGCAUUGGGGGAGUUGCAUGUUUGUGCAGAUGUGUCCCUGCAGUCCCUCUUACAUGUGUGCUUUGGCAGUCAGGAUGUCAGCCACUAAUUAGUUUUCCCUAAUGGGACUAAUAACAGCUUCAGAGUGACUCAGCGUAACAAACCUAUCUCUCUUGUUCAACUGGGGAAACUUCAGAGAGGAAAAUUAUCCUGGAAGAUAAAUGUUAUCCUGUAAUAGAUGGUGUCCUUCAUAUGAGCCAAAUUCUGAUCUCAGUUUAGCCACUAUGAAUCCAGCCAAAGAAAUGAGGUUCCUUGUAGAGCUAUAUGCAACUGUCAUCAAGGUGGAAACAAAUCUUCCCCUAUACCCUAUAUUUACAGUCCAAAAAGCCUCCUUUGCAUGUCCUUUUUGUGUGGGAGAAAAGAAACUUGCAGAGUAAAAAAUGAGAUAUUGGAGGCUCAUCCUUUCCAGGUGUACAUAUGCCAAAUAGUGCUAUGAAGAUGGCAAGCUCCCAGCAUUACAAAAGAAUGAAGAAAAUAUCAGACAUGGAACUUUGUCCCUUUUCUGUGACAGAACAGCAAUAAAAACUUGUCACUCCUUCUGCCUGUUUGAAAGCAGUAGACAUUGAAAAGCAGCUGAAGCAUUUUAAACUAGCACUUCUAAACCCUACGGAAAUCUGCAUGUAGAGAGCUUGAAAUCCCUAUGCCACAUGGACUAUAUGGAUGCCUUUUCCCCCCCUGAAAAGGACGUUUGUACUAUUAUGGUUGCUCAGAAAAUAAGCAGGAUGUUUCCUAAAACUGCAAAAAAACAAGUAGACAAAUUUUAUUUAUGGUAUUCGUCUAUCUCAUAAUUUCUAAGUAAAUUUCUU
Molecule: long non-coding RNA, 8171 nt
Organism: Hemicordylus capensis (graceful crag lizard)
Lineage: Eukaryota; Metazoa; Chordata; Lepidosauria; Squamata; Cordylidae
Exons: 5
Source: RefSeq, a predicted model, not a curated record